GCCAUCCCAGGCUGAAGAGCCAAGGAUGGAUUUUCUCCUGAAGAGAUCUUUCUGAAGGACGACAAGUCGAUUUGAAAUUUACACUCAAUGAGGACAGAACAAUAGCCUAGUCAAAUAUUACCGUUUUCCCUGGUGUUGAAGGUGUUUCUUGUCCUCUUGGUGCUUAAUGGUCAUGAUCUUAAACUAUUAUCAGUUAAAGUUGAUGAUGAAGAACUUAAGCCUUGGCGACUUGUUUUGUUCAUAAUCUCAUCGUUACUUCGUUUCGUUGAUGAUCUCGUCGUUACUUCUCCUGACCUGUAGUAGGUGGAUUCCUACAGGUGAAGACUGUUUAUUAGUUUUUUAAUUGUUAGCUUUGGCUUAAUGGUUCACGA
Molecule: long non-coding RNA, 371 nt
Organism: Asparagus officinalis (garden asparagus)
Lineage: Eukaryota; Viridiplantae; Streptophyta; Magnoliopsida; Asparagales; Asparagaceae
Exons: 4
Source: RefSeq, a predicted model, not a curated record